Thalassophryne amazonica is the source of this 484-nucleotide long non-coding RNA. RefSeq lists it as uncharacterized. The record is from RefSeq and is a predicted model, not a curated record. The transcript is spliced from 2 exons. Lineage: Eukaryota; Metazoa; Chordata; Actinopteri; Batrachoidiformes; Batrachoididae.
UGAUACAACACAGCAUCCGGGACACUUUGCUCAUGUGUGAGAUGUGCAAGGUUUUAAUUUUUUUAAAAUGGAUGCCGAAAGGAAAAUCAACACACAACACAUCCAUGAUGCACUUGUGACACUUGCAGUGUGUUUCAGUUUUUAGCAGGAUAUCUUAAAAGCCAGUGACUAUAUCUUUACAAAACUUCUUGAAAUGAUAAAACGACAGAGGCCUUGGCGGAGGGACAUGCUGUUGUUUUGCUGGUUUUGGAUGCUAUCGUUGGGACACAGCAGUAAGAGUGCAGUGAGGGAUGAAGGAGUUUGGUGGAUCAUCCGUGUCUGUAAGGUGACUGGUUCAAAAGAGUGAAUCUGAAGCACAAACGCUGUGUUCCUUCAUAAGAGAGAAAACGUGAGCGUUAGCUUGUGUGUUUGGUUGGCACGAUAUUCAUCCCCUCAUCAUGGCAGACACCGCUGGGGAGCGAGGUUUUAACAAGUUACACUAAAA